Molecule: transfer RNA, 73 nt
Filed under: Loxodonta africana (African savanna elephant)
Lineage: Eukaryota; Metazoa; Chordata; Mammalia; Proboscidea; Elephantidae
Rfam family: tRNA
About the family: Transfer RNA (tRNA) molecules are approximately 80 nucleotides in length. Their secondary structure includes four short double-helical elements and three loops (D, anti-codon, and T loops).
Source: Rfam by way of RNAcentral
GCCCUGGAGGCAAAAAUAGUUAUAUUCUUGGCUGCUAACCAAAAGGCUGGUGGUUCAAAUCCACCCAGUGGCU